This 394-nucleotide unclassified non-coding RNA is filed under the name soil metagenome. RNAcentral's name for it is "partial contains 5.8S ribosomal RNA, internal transcribed spacer 2, and large subunit ribosomal RNA". The stretch from base 1 to 122 matches the Rfam family "5.8S ribosomal RNA", at positions 35 to 154 of the family's 154-position model. The record is from RNAcentral.
GAUGAAGAACGCAGUGAAAUGCGAUACCUGGUGUGAAUUGCAGAAUCCCGCGAACCAUCGAGUCUUUGAACGCAAGUUGCGCCCGAGGCCACCCGGCCGAGGGCACGCCUGCCUGGGCGUCACGCCAAAACACGCUCCCACCCCCCCUCACCGGGGGAGCGGGACGCGGCGUCUGGCCCCCCGUGCCGCGAGGCGCGGUGGGCCGAAGAUCGGGCUGCCGGCGUACCGUGCCGGGCACAGCGCGUGGUGGAUCUCUACUCGGCGCAGUGCACCCGGCGCGUAGCCGGCGCAGCGGCCCCUAAGGACCCAACGAACGGAGCGCGAGCCGCUCCGACCGCGACCCCAGGUCAGGCGGGACUACCCGCUGAGUUUAAGCAUAUCAAUAAGCGGAGGA